CUAAGUAUAAGAAAAUAUAGAGUUAACAAAAAUUAAAAAAAAAAUUAUUAGUUGAAGGAAUGUGUUGUUUUUGUGGAGCUUUGAACUCAACUCUUAUCCAGAGUUGUUUAGUUGUACUUUGUGAGAAGGUUGUUGUAUCCUAGAGCAGACAAGUCAAGAAGAUUACUGCUGGACCGGUAAAAAUAUUUGUUGAAGUGGGC
This 200-nucleotide long non-coding RNA is filed under the name Capsicum annuum. Its description in RNAcentral is "long non-coding RNA (CANN_LNC006595)". The record is from RNAcentral. Lineage: Eukaryota; Viridiplantae; Streptophyta; Magnoliopsida; Solanales; Solanaceae.